UCGGAGGUCGUCUAACGGUAGGACAGCUGGUUUUGGUCCAGUCAAUCGGGGUUCGAUUCCCUGCCUCCGAGCUA
Molecule: transfer RNA, 74 nt
Filed under: Candidatus Falkowiibacteriota bacterium
Lineage: Bacteria; Candidatus Falkowiibacteriota
Description: tRNA-Gln
Rfam family: tRNA
About the family: Transfer RNA (tRNA) molecules are approximately 80 nucleotides in length.
Source: RNAcentral